Molecule: ribosomal RNA, 274 nt
Filed under: uncultured bacterium
Lineage: Bacteria
Description: partial 16S ribosomal RNA
Rfam family: Bacterial small subunit ribosomal RNA
Source: RNAcentral
CCCUUGUCAUUAGUUGCUACGAAAGGGCACUCUAAUGAGACUGCCGGUGACAAACCGGAGGAAGGUGGGGAUGACGUCAAGUCCUCAUGGCCCUUAUGGGUAGGGCUUCACACGUCAUACAAUGGUACAUACAGAGCGCCGCCAACCCGCGAGGGGGAGCUAAUCGCAGAAAGUGUAUCGUAGUCCGGAUUGUAGUCUGCAACUCGACUGCAUGAAGUUGGAAUCGCUAGUAAUCGCGGAUCAGCAUGUCGCGGUGAAUACGUUCCCGGGUCUU